AAAAUCCUUCUUAAGUAAUGAAAAAGCAGGUUAGCUCCGAAGAGCCGAUCCUUUAGUGUAGGCUGGGCUGCUAGUUUUCGGCUUUCAAAGUUAUGGUUGUUAGGUUCUAUUGGGUUUCGACAUGGGUUUGUAUUAAAAUAGGCUGAGACUGAGAGCCACUUUUGCUACUCCUUAUAUUUUAAUUUUAAUGCAAGAAUCAGUUCAAGAAAAAAGUUACGUUAACAAAUAAACUAAAAGCAAAUUGGUAAUUGUAGCAUUUGUUCUUACCAACGAGUUCUCUAGAACCGGAG
RNAcentral lists this long non-coding RNA (290 nucleotides) under Brassica rapa (field mustard). RNAcentral describes it as "long non-coding RNA (BRAP_LNC002626)". The record is from RNAcentral. Lineage: Eukaryota; Viridiplantae; Streptophyta; Magnoliopsida; Brassicales; Brassicaceae.